RNAcentral lists this ribosomal RNA (863 nucleotides) under Dendryphion nanum. RNAcentral's name for it is "LSU rRNA". It matches the Rfam family "Eukaryotic large subunit ribosomal RNA", at positions 114 to 993 of the family's 3401-position model. Lineage: Eukaryota; Fungi; Ascomycota; Dothideomycetes; Pleosporales; Torulaceae. The record is from RNAcentral.
UUUGAAAUCUGGCCUCUUUGGGGUCCGAGUUGUAAUUUGCAGAGGGUGCUUUUGGUGUUGGCCGUGGUCUAAGUUCCUUGGAACAGGACGUCACAGAGGGUGAGAAUCCCGUACGUGGCCGCCGGCCCUCGCCUUGUAAAGCCCCUUCGACGAGUCGAGUUGUUUGGGAAUGCAGCUCUAAAUGGGAGGUAAAUUUCUUCUAAAGCUAAAUACCCGCCAGAGACCGAUAGCGCACAAGUAGAGUGAUCGAAAGAUGAAAAGCACUUUGGAAAGAGAGUGAAAAAGCACGUGAAAUUGUUGAAAGGGAAGCGCUUGCGGCCAGACGUGCCUGCGGUUGAUCAACUGGGCUCCCGCCCGGUGCACUCCUCCGCGGGCAGGCCAGCAUCAGUUUGGGCGGUCGGACAAAGGUCUCUGUCACGUACCAUCCCUCGGGAUGGCCUUAUAGGGGAGACGCAACACGGCCAGCCUGGACUGAGGUUCCGCGCAUCUGCUAGGAUGCUGGCGUAAUGGCAGCAAGCGGCCCGUCUUGAAACACGGACCAAGGAGUCUAACAUCUAUGCGAGUGUUUGGGUGUCAAGCCCGAGCGCGUAAUGAAAGUGAACGGAGGUGGGAACCCCUCGGGGCGCACCAUCGACCGAUCCUGAUGUCUUCGGAUGGAUUUGAGUAAGAGCAUAGCUGUUGGGACCCGAAAGAUGGUGAACUAUGCCUGAAUAGGGUGAAGCCAGAGGAAACUCUGGUGGAGGCUCGCAGCGGUUCUGACGUGCAAAUCGAUCGUCAAAUUUGGGCAUAGGGGCGAAAGACUAAUCGAACCAUCUAGUAGCUGGUUCCUGCCGAAGUUUCCCUCAGGAUAGCAGUAACGUUUU